CCCGCCCGCCGGCGGCUCCCGCACCCUCUGGCCGGCGGCCUGAGCACCUGCAGCGCGUAGGUGGACGUGCGCGAGCCGGGCCAGACUGCCGGGAGCCGGACUCGAGCGCGGGGCGUUCGAGAGGCGGGGUCAAGCCGUGCGUCCCGGCCCCGGGGCGUGGCCUCGCGCAGGUGCGCCGAGCGGCUCGGGUUUCACUGAAACUUAUCCAGGUCCCGAGAGGCGCCAGGAGAGAGUUGGAUUGGCGCAGGUGAGACCGCGGCUUCUUCGCCGAGCGGCGAGUGGGACUCCGAGUUUCGAAUCACUUGCCGGCGAGUGCCCUGCCCGCCCGACGUCGGGGCUGCAGGAAGGAUGCGUGGCAUAAGCGCGGCGUGGCUGCUGGGGGGCGCCAUCCUGCUGGCGGCCUCCGUCUCCUGCAGUCCCACCAUCCAAGGAACCAAUAGAACCUCCAAAGGAAGAAGUCUCAUUGGUAAGAUUGAGAGCUCCUCUCAGAUCACUGGGAAAGGAGUUACCGUGGAACCAGGCUUUUCUGUGGAUGAGUUUGCUGCCUCCGUCCUCACUGGAAAACUGACCACCGUCUUUCUUCCAGUUGUGUACACAAUUGUAUUUGCUAUUGGUUUGCCAAGUAAUGGCAUGGCUCUGUGGGUCUUUCUUUUCCGAACAAGGAAGAAGCACCCUGCUGUGGUUUACAUGGCCAAUCUAGCCUUGGCAGACCUCCUCUCUGUGAUCUGGUUCCCUCUGAAGAUUGCAUAUCACAUACAUGGCAACAACUGGAUUUACGGGGAAGCUCUUUGCAAAGUACUCAUUGGCUUUUUCUAUGGCAACAUGUACUGUUCCAUUCUCUUCAUGACCUGCCUCAGUGUGCAGAGGUAUUGGGUCAUUGUGAAUCCCUUGGUGCACCCCAGGAAGAAGACAAACAUUGCCUUUGGGCUCUCGCUGGGAAUAUGGCUGCUGAUUCUGCUGGUCACCAUCCCCCUGUAUGUUGUGAGGCAGACUGUGUACAUUCCAGCCCUUAACAUCACAACCUGCCAUGAUGUAUUGCCUGAGGAGGUGUUGGUAGGGGACAUGUUCAAUUAUUUCCUCUCUCUGGCCAUCGGAGUCUUUCUGUUCCCAGCCUUCCUCACAGCCUCUGCCUAUGUGCUGAUGAUCCGAACACUCCGGUCUUCUGCGAUGGAUGAAAACUCGGAAAAGAAGAGGCAGAGAGCCAUCAAACUCGUUGUCACCGUCCUGGCCACUUACCUGAUCUGCUUCACUCCUAGUAACCUUCUGCUUGUGGCCCAUUAUUUCCUGAUUAAAACCAGGAGCCAGAGCCACGUCUAUGCAGUGUACAUUUUAGCCCUCUGUCUUUCCACACUCAACAGCUGCAUUGACCCCUUCGUCUACUACUUUGUUUCCCAAGACUUCAGGGAUCACGUGAAGAACGCGCUCCUCUGUCGAAGUGUCCGUACUGUGCGGCAGAUGCAGAUAUCCCUCACAUCACAGAAGUUCUCCAGGAAGUCCAGCUCUUACUCUUCGAGUUCAACCAGUGUUAAGACCUCUUACUGAGUUAUUCAGCGUGUCUGUAAAACCACGGGGGGAUGUGGAACCUGCGUAAUGUACGGGUGUGUUUCUGUUGUUCUCUGACCCAGUGGAUCUCACCACACACCAUGUAUAUGGAGCACCUCUGAGGAUGGCUAGAAGCUCCCUGUUACCAUGAGGGAAGUCUCUCAAAUCAACCAAGAUGGCAGUUUCAGAAUUCCUCUCCUCAGGUGCUCCCGGAAAUGGAACUAACAGAAGCAGACUUCUCAGAAGGCAGUGAGAAAACAGAAGCUCAGGGUCACUAGUUCUUACUAGCGCUGACGUGAAGGCAUAGUUCGUAGGAGAACCUUACAGCCGUGUGGGAGCUUCCGUGUCCUCUGAGAUGAGCAGUUCAAGGGACUGACUGUACAGAUUGAGGAAAGUGAGGAGGUGAAGAAGCUAUGCGAGUCGGCGUUGCUUCCAUUCCAACUGGGGACAGCGGUUAGGAUUGGACUGUAGACUUACAGCGUUCAGUGGGGUUCUUCUACACCUCCUGUGGAUCUUGUUUAAAAAUGGGGGUUCGUCAGACUCAGGAAUGAGAGGGCUCAGGGUCUGAGGUAACUGCAUUUUAACAGGAUUCUGCCAUGCACACUCGGGCUCACCCAGGUUUGAGAACCGCCGGUCUGGGUCCCAAGGGAGAAGCAAACUGCUGUGUGUCUCUUCUGUGAGAAUACAUUGAAGAUUUGAAAUGUGGAAACACAAAGUUUGUGUAACUUUAUAUCGACUCAAUCUUCAGGUGAUCUGAGAUAUAGAUGGUUUCAGAGUGAGAGGGGAUUUUACCACUUAGUGUUUUCUAGAAUUAUAGUUGAACUAUUUAUUGUUAGUUUUUUUUUUUUCACUUGCUACAAAUACGAAAUUGUAAUGCCUUCACUAUAUUUGAACCACAUCUGUUUGGAAAAGAAUGCGAAAGAGAUGUGAUUUGUAAUAUAUUUAGGGGGUACAUAUUCCAAACUGAAUUUGUAUAACUUGUAUUUGUGAAUUUUUGGAAAUAAUCUCAUUGUAAUGAUUGAUUUAUAAAUAACACAUGACCCCUUUUUUUUUUUUUUUACAACUUAUUUUUGAGUUGUGUGUUUUGUGGGUUUUUUAAAGGAGGGUGUGGGAAACGGGAAGCCCCAGCAUCACUCCUAUAAAAAGCAAUGUGAUGCUCACGCCAUAUUUUCCUAGGUAAAUAGGGCCAAUAUAGUACAUAUUGCUUGAUGACAGUUGUUUUCACAUAACAUUUUAGAAUUCUUCCAUUCACUGUUCAUUGACCUCCAUUUUUCAUGGAUACAGACUCUAAUUUGGGGAUAUGUUAAGAUGUAUUUAGCCAUUCCCCUAGCAAUGUCUCCUGAAGUCUCUCUCUUUUUGUUUUUAUUGUUGUUAUUAAAACGGUGCUGCACUGGACAUCUGUGUAGACAUGUUUGUGAGUAUUUCUGUAGGAUAAGUUCCUAGAAGUGGAAUGACCAGGUCAGAAGUCAGAUUACCAUUUUAAAUUUUGGUAACUCUUGCCAAAUUGCCUUCAGUAAUUUAUAUUUCAAUCAAAAUAGUACAUUUGCACCUGUUUCCUGAAAUGCUCAUCCAUAUUUAGUCUGUCAGUCUUUUACAAUUUUGCUAAUCUGACUAGAAACAGAAUCUUACUGUCCUAAUUUGUAUGGAAGCAGCAUAGCCUCGUGGAGAAACAGAGCUGACAUCUGACCCCCUCAUAGUUGGUUUCAUGAGCUAAGGGAAGAUCCUUCUCUGUGCCUUAGUUUCUCAGUUGUAAAAUGAGGAUAACGGUAUUUUCCUUACAGAGGUACAAGGAUUAAGUGUUUGGCACAUGUAUGCACUUGUAAAUACCAUGGAGCACUGUGACUUCCUCUCUUGACUGCUGAUGAGAUGUCAUUUCUGCUUCGCCCCCCCUUCCCCUUUCAGUGCCUGUUUAUACGCUUGCCUUCCCUGAACACACUGCUUGGUGUCUCAUAGCAGGCUUGGGUUGUCUUCAUUUUAUAGGAAUUUGGGAGCUGUAUAGCUCUGGUUGUGACUUGGAGCUUCCCAAAAGGUCAUACUGCAGUCAUGUGAAGACUUGACUCUGGCUGGAGGACCCCCUUCUAAGGAGGAUCCCACAUGCCUGUUGGGUUGGUGCUGCUUGUUGGCUGGAGGCCUCUGUUGUUUGCCACAUGGAUCUCUCCGUAGGGCUCCUUGGGUGUCCUCACAACAUGGUGACUUGACUUCCCCGAGAGCGCAUGGUCCAAGAGGAAGCAAAGCAGAAGCUGCAAUGUUUUUUGUUUGGAGGUACUACUGCUAUCCCAUUUAUACUGGCUGGGAAACAGCGUGGUAAGUGACGAGCCCAGGAUCACCCAGCAAGUUCACGGCAGAGGUGACAGCUGAAGCCAGGGAGUCCCAGUGUCUCGGCAGCACAAUCCUGCCUCUCACCU
Molecule: RNA transcript, 3947 nt
Organism: Mustela erminea (ermine)
Lineage: Eukaryota; Metazoa; Chordata; Mammalia; Carnivora; Mustelidae
Gene: F2RL1
Gene name: F2R like trypsin receptor 1
Exons: 4
Source: RefSeq, a predicted model, not a curated record